GAACAGUUAAGAUUUUCACAAAUUUGCUCUCUUGAAAGGUUUGCAUUUACUUAUAUUCACACCAGCAAUAUACCUGAGCACUCAUUUUUUUUUAACUGAAAUAAUUAAAGAUUAAAAACAGGGCAUCAUUACUUUUCCAUGAGAGUCUUUUGAGCAACAAGAAUGGCUAAAUGCCAGAACUGGGAUGGGCAGUUAGUGGCACAUGAAUGCAGGCAUGAAGUGCCAUGCUCAGGCUAGGAAAGAAAGUUAAGAGGCACUUUACAGAGUCAGCUUCGAAAGAUGGAUAAAUAAGACUUAGAAAGGCAGAAGAAACAGUGUGUGAAAAAAGUACAAAGAAAUAACAAGGUGUUCUUGUGGCAGAGAAGGGUUUGUUAGAACAAGAGGUUUAUUGAUGGGAAUCAUGUGUGUGAUAUUGAAUUUUAUGUCAACUUGACUGAGCUACAGCAUGCCCAGGUAUUUGGCCAAUAUUCUGGGUAUUUUUACAAAGGUGUUUGUAUGAGAUUAACAUUUAAGUUGAUAGACUGAGUAAAGCAAAUUGCAUUCCCUAAUGUGGGUUAACCUCAUCCAAUCGGUUGAAGGUCUGAAUAGAAACCUUCAACCUUGCCUGUCUGCUUUUGAACUGGGACACUGUUUUUUUCCUGCUUUCAGGCUUGAACUAAAACAUCAGCUCUUUCCAAGUCUUGAGCCUUCCAGCUGGGACCACAAUUCACACAUGGAUGCUCCCGGGUCUGCAGACCACAGACUGCAGAGCUUGGAGUUCCACUUUGGUGGUGAGAGAAAAGAAUAUCUGAUUGGAUUAUGUGGCGUGAGCAGUGACCUACUUAUCUUGCUCGUGCGAAACCUUUCCCUGGGAUGCUAGAACCCAGACAGAAACUCCUCCCUGGUGAGAACUCGCUGGAAUCACAGACGACGCUUGCAGGGAAACAGCCGCGACUGGGUGGUCUGCCGAGGAAGAACGCACCUGAAGAAGACCACCCCUCUUCCCAGCCCACGGGGUCUCUUCCCAACCACGCUCCUCCUUCCUUCUUCCCGUCUCUCUGAAGGGACCCCACGCAUUUCCCUCUGGCUCUCCUGGCACAAUCCGGAUCGUGGAUUCAAUCAACGUCUAUGAGGGAAUUCUAAGGCUUUUCUCUGAAUCUGCUGUUUCCGACCCUCCCUGCGACCCCCACUGAUGGGUGGCUGGCAGAUGGAGAAUCGGGGGAAGAAGGAGAGGAGACAGGAAAAACCAUUCCUAGUUAACAUCUUAAAAAAAAAAAUAGUAUGCCGCCACGUCACCAGUCCCAAUUCUUACUUCUCUUCAGCUAAAACUCUCCAUGGUCUUGUAUUCAGACCAGUUUUCUUCAUUUCUCCAAACUUUCCGUGUUAGCUAUUCUUGUACCACUUCUAUCAUUUCCUGCCCCUCUGCUUCCAAAACUCCUCUUCCACUAUCUUAGCUCUGCCCAAAGACCUAAUAGAGUGUGUCUAAUACCUAGUAUAGUGUAUAUAAUAUGUGUAAAUAUGUGAACCCCGAACAUUUGAGACAGGUCUCAGUUAAUUUAGAAAGAUGGUUUUGGCAAGGUGACGAAGUUUAUUUUGCCACGACACAGCCUCAGGAGGUCCCGAUGACGGGCUCAAGGAGUGGCCAGAGGGCAGCUUGGUUUUACACAUUUCAGGGAGAAAUGAGACCUCAAUCAACAUAUGUAAAACAAACAUUGGUUCAUCCAGAAAGGCGGCCCCACUGGAACUGAGGAGGGGGCUUUCAGGUCACAGGUAGGGGAGGGACAAACGGUUGCAUUCUUUUGAGUUUUUGAUUAGCUUUUCCAAAAGAGACAACCAGAUAUGCAUUUAUCUCAGUGAGCUGAGAGAAUAGAAUGGGAGAUACCUUUGCCAUAAGCCAUUCCCAGCUUGAAUUUUCCCUUUAGUUUAAUGAGGAAUAAUUUGGGGACCUGAGAUGUUUUCCUUUCACAAAUACUAUAUAUGUAAAUAUUAUUACAACAUAUAUAAUAUUAUAUAUAUAUAUAUAUAUAUAUAUAUAUAUAUAUAUAUAUAUAUAUUGGUUUAAACAUUUCUCUGGCUAGUUAUCAUUUUAGGCAGAAAGAUUCUUCACCCAUAAAGGAUUUAUUAAAUAAACACAACUGAAAAGUUACUCAGACACAUAUGUCAGUAAACAAGUCUACUUACCGAAAAUUAUAAUAAGCAAUAAUAAUAAAAGGGUUAAAAUUUAAAUAAUAAUAGAAGGAUUUCACAUUCAGAAAUAUGAUAUUGUUUGAAGGGAUUUCUGGGAGUCAUUUUAGUAAAUAGGCUCACCUUUUAACGUUACUUGCUUUAUAUGAGCGAAAAGCAUGCUCAUUAGCAAAACCUACAGCAAGGUGCAUGGAAUUAUAUGAGUAACAGUUCUGUCUAAACACAUAGCUACUAUCCUAAUGAACAUCUCUAUUAUUUAGUUAAUAUCACCAUUAACUGAAAAUAUAGGGCUUUGCAUUGAAACAACUUUUAGCUACUGAAAAGUUAUUUGUGAUGUUUAUAAUUAGAUAAAAAGUUAAAUUUUAAUUAACUUUAGCAUAAUAUGGAAGAACCAAGACCUGACUCUCUUAAAUGCUAAUAUAGCAUUUUCAAAGGAAAAGAAAAAUUGACUAGGAUGAUGAAACCCAAAUUAUUCCUCUUCUGUUUUUCUUUUCUCCACACACAGCAUUACUGCUCAUCUUUCUAGCCAGAUAACUGGCCCUCAGUAAUGAUUUAAAUAUAUUUUGGUUAAAUGAUAAAUGAGAUUAAAAGCUCCCCUUGUGAUUGAAGGUUUUCCCUUUUCUAUGUUAAGUUUAAUUUUUACUAAAAUAAUACAGAAUUUACUUAGUCAAGACUACUUAAUUUCUUAGAACCACAGCAACUGGAAAUUUUUUAGCAGAACAGGAUUUCCUUGUUUUUAAGAAAGUCAGAUAUAUCAACAUGCUUAUCGCCAAGCCUGGCUGCAGCCCCGUGGGCAGAGGCCCAGCCACACAGAUUGCUGCAUUAGCGUUUGUUUCCAUGGAUUCUUUCAAACUUUUCUUCAUUUGCUGAAGGAAUGACUGAGAUGCUUCAGAUUUUGCCCCAGAACAUCAAACAAGUUCUCACCCUGGGUUUUCUGGUUUGGUUUUGAUUCUGUUUCUGUUCUGUUUUGUGUUUGCUUUUCAUCAAGGAAAAAGUAAAUGCAACUUUUAGAAGAGUUUCUCUUUUCAAUGAAAGAGAAAGUACUUCUCUAGAUUCUUUGGAAUUUUCCCUUUCAUUCUACAUUAGGCAGUGUGCACCAGAAUGGGAAACCCUGGGGCGCCUCUAAAGCUUGGUCAUCAGGCAUGGAGCUGGCUGGACCACAGAGAGGUACAGACUGGGUGACUACAUCUUCAGAGGAAGUGGGCUUGCGUGUCUAUGAUUCACUCUGUGCCUUUUUCUUAGUAUAAUGAGUUCCAAGAAAACCAGAUUUUGAUACUGCAUCAAGUCAGAAAUAGCUUUAUAAUUAAAGUUGUAUUUGAAAGAGAAGUCUCAUCGUUUUGGAAUGACCUGGGCUUAGCUUUUCUACUUCAACUCCAAUCUCCUUUCCCCCAGUAUCCAAGUGUUCUGUUAUUAGUAACCUUGUAAAAGUAAACUCAAAAGUGGCAGCAAAUAUCAAAUACUUUGUUCAGCUUUUCUUUAAAAAAUAAGGUUAAAAAAAGAUAGACUUUUUUUAUUGCAAUAUCAAUAAUCCUCUGUAUUCUAGAGACUUAAGGUACUUAGCAUACACACCAUUUUAAUUCAGACUUGUUAUAAUUAUGUAUCAUUCAGUUUUUAUGCCUAGAAUAUGGCCUUGUUAGACCCAAGUCAAAACGUUACCCUGAAGCCUGGGCACAGUCUCCAGUUCCAUCUUAGGACAACAUCACCAGGCCCAUUUUCUCCAUGAAGCCUCCUUCUAAUUGUUUAAAAAAUUUUAUUUUCAAGUGAUGAGUAUUUAUCAUGAGGAGGGAGUAGCUUUCCUGUCUCAUGAACUGCAGUUUCUCUUACAUUCAUUAUUCAAGUUCAAAAUGUAAUAGUAAUUUACUGAAUUAAGAUCACCCCUAAAAUUCAGAGGUACUGCAGAGGAGCCAGCAUGUUCUCUUUUGGAAGUGAACAUGGACUAAGCCCGCUCUACUAGAAGCACUGUGGGUGGUGAGCACAGGUGAUGGGGAAACCCUGUUCUCACAGCCACCUCCAGAAGAGAUGGUGCACAGACAGACACAGGGUGAAGAAACGAAGUGGCAGAAAAAAGAAAAACAUUCUUUUUUUUUUUCUUUUUUGAGACGGAGUUUCACUCUUGUUACCCAGGCUGGAGCGCAAUGGCGCGAUCUCGGCUCAACGCAACCUCCGCCUCCUGGG
Callithrix jacchus (white-tufted-ear marmoset) is the source of this 4338-nucleotide long non-coding RNA. The record is from Ensembl. Lineage: Eukaryota; Metazoa; Chordata; Mammalia; Primates; Cebidae.